AUCAGUAUUCUUGCAUAUUGUCAAUGAGUCUGACCUGAAUUUCAUAAAAAAAUUGUGUCGAAAGGAAACAAAUAUUUGCCGUUGUUUUGAACCAUGCAAUCGCAUAAUAAGACCUCUUGAGAUCGCACGGUUAAGCCAAGUUACUUGCAAGAUUCUAACAAAAGGACCUUGCAAUCUUAAGGUAUUAACUUUUGUAUUCAUUUACUAUGAUCCCUAAGUAUCUUCUUCAUCUCAGUUCAAGUCCCUUUUUGUAUUUUAUGAGUCCUUCAACUUCCAUUUUUAUCCAAUUUGAUCCAUGUCCUCUUCAUUUAUUCGUCCUUGGUCCGAAUCAACUUUUGAAAUUUUAUAAUUUGAUCACGUACUAUUACAGUUAUUUUUCUUUAGCUCUUUUUUGGGCCCAUUUUCACUUCUUUUUAUCAUUAACCUUCCAACAUUGAAUUUAUCAUACAACAAUCAAUUUUUAACCAAAUUAAGUAAAAAUUCCACCAAACCGACUUCCAAAUAUCAACUUUUGACAACCCUAAGAGCCU
RNAcentral lists this long non-coding RNA (530 nucleotides) under Olea europaea subsp. europaea. The record is from RNAcentral. Lineage: Eukaryota; Viridiplantae; Streptophyta; Magnoliopsida; Lamiales; Oleaceae.